UUAUUUUUUUUUAUAAAAUUUUUUUUGGUCUAUUUGGGUUUAGGAUUUUUGAAAAUUUUUGAGUAAAUUUUAUUUUGCCUCUUCAAAGCUAUCUGUGGGUUUAGGGGGUUCGGUUGAAAAGCUUUUAUCUUUUGUGAAAAUUUUGAUUCCAUACUUGUUUAGGAAAGUUGGAAUUUCAUGUCAAUUACUGUAGUUGUUGAUUCUGUAAAACGUAAAUGGUAGGUGUUAUAUGCUCAGAAGGUGCUUGAU
This 249-nucleotide unclassified non-coding RNA is filed under the name Hevea brasiliensis (rubber tree). Lineage: Eukaryota; Viridiplantae; Streptophyta; Magnoliopsida; Malpighiales; Euphorbiaceae. The record is from RNAcentral.